This 1624-nucleotide long non-coding RNA is filed under the name Mus musculus (house mouse). Its description in RNAcentral is "Mecom adjacent non-protein coding RNA". Lineage: Eukaryota; Metazoa; Chordata; Mammalia; Rodentia; Muridae. The record is from RNAcentral.
GGGAGUCCAUUCUCCCCCUUAAAAGCUAUGUAGUCAAGAAGGUCAAUGCCGACACGAUCAACAAAUUAUCAGGAAAGAACCUGGAAUUAGACCUUCAGGAAACCCAUAUUCAUGUGUGAAAUGGAAAAAUAUUCUCGCCUAGAGCUCAGGGGUGUCUUGAGAAGUUUCUGCCCUGUCCCUGUGGAAUAUACAAGACACAAAGAAGCCUACUACCCUGUCAAGAAGGCAGCUAAGGAUCUCCUAUGGCAAUACUCUGAGUUGUAACUCAAUGUAUAGCAAGACCGUGAAGCACUCUUUCAUCAAUCAAACUUGCUUUGAGUCCAGGACCAGGAGAACAUGUGACCAGCCUGUGACAGUUGCUGAGGCAGAGACUAGAGGUCUAUAGGAGAUAAUGUAUGCUUAUUACCAUUUAAGGUUCUCUAAUGGUGCCUUCAGCCAAGAAUGUACUGAGCUUUAUCCCAAACAUGGAACCUCACAUAGCAUCACAUUGAACCAAUGGACUCUGUGCAGUAAAAGAAAGAUGCUGUGGAUUAUAGAAAGAGUCAGAUAUGCAGCUUUACGAUCCACUGGUCACCAUCAUAAGCCACCACACUCAGUGGUCCUGGAAAGAUGAUGGAAGGGUUCCACUAAAAAAACAUCCAGGAGAUGCAGCUUAAGGAAUAUGGCUCUUAUGUUUCAUAGUACAAUGUAUCACCUAUAUUUACCUCAUGGUAUAGUUGUCUCUUCUGAAUACACAGUCCAAUAUGUAAUUAGUAGAAGUAAAGGUGGUCUUAUAUCUGUCACUCCCACUGACCUUUGGAACAUGUGCUGGAGAUGCUUGCAGGUUUAGAAGCUUUGAGACUUAUACUGGUAUGCUAGCACAUGCAUUUUGGUAAAUAUCAAACUGUAGCCACUGCCUGAUCACAUUGGAUUUUGCAUAUCAAGACCAACUGCUUCAACAAAAUAAUUAACCUUGAUCCCAGAAAUCAGAAGAGGUAUUACCAUAUAUGAGGUCAAGGUUUUAUUUUUUGAUACUCCCUUGCCAGGUUGUAUGGCGGAGGAACAAAUGACCCAAGCAUGAAUGGAAAAGGCAUGAAGACUCUGAGAACAGGUGUCUCAGAGAGAAGAAUCUGAGCCAUCAUUACUGGAUAAGUCACUUAGCUAUCACAUAUCCCAACCAAGGGGUUUAAGAAUGGAUGAUACCAGUGAGACCUGAAAGGUUUCUGCUAUAGUCUGAGGAAUAGCUGCAAUCGUAGUGGCCGCAGCUCACUCCACUAAUACUCUUUUGAGUUUCCCUAGCAAAAGAUGACCACCAGAGUCCUGAAGACUAAGGGUGUUAAAAAGGGAAGCCAAGCAAGGCCAACAGAAAUAUCUGCAGAAUUCUAACCACUGUGUCCUUUGGUUGCUGAUUAUUAUUGUCAGGUGAACAUGGUCUCUGUACCCAAGAGAAUGUCUCCUGCCCAAGACCAGCCUUCAUUGAGUGACUGGAAGAUACUGAGAUAUGAUGGACUUCCCUCAACAUUCUAUGGAAUUACUUUAAAGGCCUCACAGGAUGUGCUGGGAUAUUCUUUGUGAUUGUAUAUUUCUUUCACCCUCGGGUGUUGAUUUCCAGGGUAUUUCCAAUAAACUUUGUGUGCACAAGUCA